This 240-nucleotide ribosomal RNA is filed under the name Triticum aestivum (bread wheat). Its description in RNAcentral is "partial small subunit ribosomal RNA". The record is from RNAcentral. Lineage: Eukaryota; Viridiplantae; Streptophyta; Magnoliopsida; Poales; Poaceae.
AUGUACAUCCAGUUGAUAGGACUGGGUGGACUUCUCAAGACACCUAGCAUCAAAAUUAAACGUGUACUCUGCCUGGCCAUCGCUAAUUCAUAUGAUGCAGAGCAGGAUGCCUUUAUCAUCAAUGGGAGACCAUGUAGGAUCACACUAGAAGAUGUAGCGCAUAUAACAGACAUGCCCUGCCAUGGGAAGAAGCACGUCCCUUCAAUCUUGAUGAUAAUAUGGAGUUGUGGAAGAAACUGA